RNAcentral lists this ribosomal RNA (239 nucleotides) under Pezicula sp. RNAcentral describes it as "partial large subunit ribosomal RNA". It matches the Rfam family "Eukaryotic large subunit ribosomal RNA", at positions 104 to 339 of the family's 3401-position model. Lineage: Eukaryota; Fungi; Ascomycota; Leotiomycetes; Helotiales; Dermateaceae. The record is from RNAcentral.
ACAGCUCAAAUUUGAAAUCUGGGUCUUUCAGGCUCCGAGUUGUAAUUUGUAGAAGAUGCUUUGGGUGCGGCCCCGGUCUAAGUUCCUUGGAACAGGACGUCAUAGAGGGUGAGAAUCCCGUAUGUGAUCGGUGGCUUGCGCCCGUGUAAAGCUCUUUCGACGAGUCGGGUUGUUUGGGAAUGCAGCUCUAAAUGGGUGGUAAAUUUCAUCUAAAGCUAAAUAUUGGCCAGAGACCGAUA